Molecule: ribosomal RNA, 484 nt
Filed under: uncultured bacterium
Lineage: Bacteria
Description: partial 16S ribosomal RNA
Rfam family: Bacterial small subunit ribosomal RNA
Source: RNAcentral
GUUGAACGCUGGCGGCAGGCCUAACACAUGCAAGUCGAUGGGGUGAAUGUGGUUUGCUCGUGGAGUCAGGGGCGGACGGGGGAGUAAUGCUUAGGAAUUUGCCUGGUAGUGGGGGAUAACGUCCGGAAACGGGCGAUAAUACCGCAUAAGUCCUGAGGGAGAAAGUGGGGGAUCUUCGGAACGCACGCUAUCAGAUGAGCCUAGGUCGGUUUAACUAGUUGGUGGGGUCAAGGGCUACCAAGGCGACGGUUCGGAACUAGUCUGAGAGGAUGAGCAGGCCGGCUGGAACGGGUAGACGGUCCAGAGUCCUACGGGAGGCAGCAGUGAGGAAUAUUGGACACUGGGGGGAAGCCUGAUGCAGCAAUGCGGCAUGUGUGAAGAAGGUCUUCUGAGUGUACAACAAUUUAUGUCGGAUGGAAGAGCAGUAAGUGAAGACCAGGCUGUUAUGACGGUACCAGCAGAAGAAGCACCGGCUAAAUACGUG